This 1071-nucleotide ribosomal RNA is filed under the name fungal endophyte. Its description in RNAcentral is "eukaryotic LSU rRNA". The stretch from base 486 to 1071 matches the Rfam family "Eukaryotic large subunit ribosomal RNA", at positions 1 to 598 of the family's 3401-position model. The record is from RNAcentral. Lineage: Eukaryota; Fungi.
UGAGUUACGCUCUAAACCCUUUGUGAACAUACCUAUAACUGUUGCUUCGGCGGGUAGGGUCUCCGUGACCCUCCCGGCCUCCCGCCCCCGGGCGGGUCGGCGCCCGCCGGAGGAUAACCAAACUCUGAUUUAACGACGUUUCUUCUGAGUGGUACAAGCCAAUAAUCAGAACUUUUAACAACGGAUCUCUUGGUUCUGGCAUCGAUGAAGAACGCAGCGAAAUGCGAUAAGUAAUGUGAAUUGCAGAAUUCAGUGAAUCAUCGAAUCUUUGAACGCACAUUGCGCCCGCCAGCAUUCUGGCGGGCAUGCCUGUUCGAGCGUCAUUUCAACCCUCAAGCUCUGCUUGGUGUUGGGGCCCUACAGUUGAUGUAGGCCCUCAAAGGUAGUGGCGGACCCUCCCGGAGCCUCCUUUGCGUAGUAACUUUACGUCUCGCACUGGGAUCCGGAGGGACUCUUGCCGUAAAACCCCCCAAUUUUCCAAAGGUUGACCUCGGAUCAGGUAGGAAUACCCGCUGAACUUAAGCAUAUCAAUAAGCGGAGGAAAAGAAACCAACAGGGAUUGCCUCAGUAACGGCGAGUGAAGCGGCAACAGCUCAAAUUUGAAAUCUGGCCCUAGGCCCGAGUUGUAAUUUGCAGAGGAUGCUUUUGGUGCGGUGCCUUCCAAGUUCCCUAGAACGGGACGCCAGAGAGGGUGAGAGCCCCGUACAGUUGGACACCAAGCCUUUGUAAAGCUCCUUCGACGAGUCGAGUAGUUUGGGAAUGCUGCUCAAAAUGGGAGGUAUAUUUCUUCUAAAGCUAAAUACCGGCCAGAGACCGAUAGCGCACAAGUAGAGUGAUCGAAAGAUGAAAAGCACUUUGAAAAGAGGGUUAAACAGCACGUGAAAUUGUUAAAAGGGAAGCGCUUGUGACCAGACUUGCGUCCGGUGAAUCACCCAGCUCUCGCGGCUGGGGCACUUCGCCGGCUCAGGCCAGCAUCAGCUCGCUGUCGGGGACAAAAGCUUCAGGAACGUAGCUCUCUUCGGGGAGUGUUAUAGCCUGUUGCAUAAUACCCUUCGGCGGGCUGAGGUACGC